UCCCGACGGUCCGAGUCGCAGCCACAAUUAUUGGGUCUAAAACAUUCGUAGCUUGUUUGUUAAGUUCCUUGUGAAAUCUCAACUCUUAAGGUUGAGGCGUGCAAGGAAUACUGGCAAACUUGGGAUCGGAAGAAGUAAGGAGUAUGCUUGAGGUAGUAGUAAAAUAUGUUAAUCUUAAGCAGACUAACAAGAGCGAAGGCACCUUACUAGUACGAAUCCGACAGUGAGGAAUGAAGGCUAGGGUC
RNAcentral lists this ribosomal RNA (245 nucleotides) under uncultured archaeon. RNAcentral's name for it is "partial 16S ribosomal RNA". It matches the Rfam family "Archaeal small subunit ribosomal RNA", at positions 474 to 718 of the family's 1478-position model. The record is from RNAcentral.